RNAcentral lists this ribosomal RNA (375 nucleotides) under uncultured organism. RNAcentral's name for it is "partial 16S ribosomal RNA". It matches the Rfam family "Bacterial small subunit ribosomal RNA", at positions 527 to 896 of the family's 1533-position model. The record is from RNAcentral.
GUAGGUGGCAAGCGUUGUCCGGAAUUAUUGGGCGUAAAGCGCGCGCAGGCGGUUCUUUAAGUCUGAUGUGAAAGCCCACGGCUCAACCGUGGAGGGUCAUUGGAAACUGGAGAACUUGAGUACAGAAGAGGAAAGCGGAAUUCCACGUGUAGCGGUGAAAUGCGUAGAGAUGUGGAGGAACACCAGUGGCGAAGGCGGCUUUCUGGUCUGUAACUGACGCUGAGGCGCGAAAGCGUGGGGGAGCAAACAGGAUUAGAUACCCUGGUAGUCCACGCCGUAAGCGAUGAGUGCUAAGUGUUAGGGGGUUUCCGCCCCCCCCUUAGUGCUGCAGCUAACGCAUUAAGCACUCCGCCUGGGAGUACGGCCGCAAGGCUG